GGAUUAUUCGACACCUCACUGUAAAAACGCAUGCACACAGAUCAUCCCGUCACACACCAAGACACCAGUCUGCAUUUCCUUUUUAGUGGAAAAACAUACUGCCUUUGCUGCUAGGUUGAGUUAUGGGGAGUCAUAGGUUGGAGCCGAUCCCAGGAACUUGGGGUGAAGGGUGAGGGACACCCUGGAUGCGGCGCCAACCCAAUCACGCACUAUGGCAAUUUGAAAAUCCGUGUACAACACAUGUCGUUGGACUGGAGGAGGAAACCGGAGUACCAGGAGGAAGAACAUGGAAGCUCCGUGCAAACAGGGCGGAGGCAGGAUUCGAGACCCUAACCCCAAAGAUGGGAGGCAGGUGUGCUGACCACUAAGCUACCGUAACAGCCUCCCCCCCCCACACACACAAAAGUCUUAGGCAAAAGUCUUAGGCAACCAUUAUCUCAUUCAUUUAGUUUCAUCUUAAUUGUUUUAUUUAGUGCUUUCUGCAUUAAUAGGUCAGUGAAAAAGAUGAAGAAAACGGAUGUCCAAACGUUUAUUUUACAAACCGUGAAAUGUUACAGAGAAAUGUUUGUACGUCAUAAAGACGGAUAUUAAGGAAGAGAGUGUUUUCGGGUGCAAAAAAUAUAUAAUGAAGGCUGUCGGGUUUUAGCUGCAAAAAAAACAGACCUCUCUACACAGUCUCGGGUUCUCCAAGAUGCUUAAAAAAGAAAAACUUCGCAGGUGAUUGACAUGUAAAAGUGUACCUGAGAGAACUGGUGCAGUUUUCAAGACAAACUACGAUCAUUACUCGUGUCAAAUGCUGAUUGUAUUUAUUUAUUUAUUUUUAACUGUCACUGUGACAGUUUAUUUGAUACAUAGAUACUUUUCAUUUCAUUAUUUUAAAAGCAUUUUUGCUACUCA
This is a long non-coding RNA of Ictalurus furcatus (blue catfish), 897 nucleotides long. RefSeq lists it as uncharacterized. Lineage: Eukaryota; Metazoa; Chordata; Actinopteri; Siluriformes; Ictaluridae. The record is from RefSeq and is a predicted model, not a curated record. The transcript has 2 exons.